This 788-nucleotide ribosomal RNA is filed under the name uncultured Lactobacillus sp. RNAcentral describes it as "bacterial SSU rRNA". It matches the Rfam family "Bacterial small subunit ribosomal RNA", at positions 28 to 776 of the family's 1533-position model. Lineage: Bacteria; Bacillati; Bacillota; Bacilli; Lactobacillales; Lactobacillaceae. The record is from RNAcentral.
GACGAACGCUGGCGGCGUGCCUAAUACAUGCAAGUCGAGCGAGCUUGCCUAGAUGAAUUUGGUGCUUGCACCAAAUGAAACUAGAUACAAGCGAGCGGCGGACGGGUGAGUAACACGUGGGUAACCUGCCCAAGAGACUGGGAUAACACCUGGAAACAGAUGCUAAUACCGGAUAAUAACACUAGACGCAUGUCUAGAGUUUAAAAGAUGGUUCUGCUAUCACUCUUGGAUGGACCUGCGGUGCAUUAGCUAGUUGGUAAGGUAACGGCUUACCAAGGCAAUGAUGCAUAGCCGAGUUGAGAGACUGAUCGGCCACAUUGGGACUGAGACACGGCCCAAACUCCUACGGGAGGCAGCAGUAGGGAAUCUUCCACAAUGGACGCAAGUCUGAUGGAGCAACGCCGCGUGAGUGAAGAAGGGUUUCGGCUCGUAAAGCUCUGUUGGUAGUGAAGAAAGAUAGAGGUAGUAACUGGCCUUUAUUUGACGGUAAUUACUUAGAAAGUCACGGCUAACUACGUGUCAGCAGCCGCGGUAAUACGUAGGUGGCAAGCGUUGUCCGGAUUUAUUGGGCGUAAAGCGAGUGCAGGCGGUUCAAUAAGUCUGAUGUGAAAGCCUUCGGCUCAACCGGAGAAUUGCAUCAGAAACUGUUGAACUUGAGUGCAGAAGAGGAGAGUGGAACUCCAUGUGUAGCGGUGGAAUGCGUAGAUAUAUGGAAGAACACCAGUGGCGAAGGCGGCUCUCUGGUCUGCAACUGACGCUGAGGCUCGAAAGCAUGGGUAGCGAACAGG